AGUGAACGCUGGCGGUAGGCCUAACACAUGCAAGUCGAACGGCAGCACAGUAAGAGCUUGCUCUUACGGGUGGCGGGUGGCGGACGGGUGAGGAAUACAUCGGAAUCUACUUUUUCGGGGGGGAUAACGUAGGGAAACUUACGCUAAUACCGCAUACGACCUACGGGUGAAAGAAGGAGAUCUUCGGACCUUGCGCGAUUGAAUGAGCCGAUGUGGGAGUGGGUGGUUGGCGGGGUAAAGGCCAACCAGGGCGAGGAACCGUAGCUGGUCUGAGAGGAGGAUCAGCCACACUGGAACUGAGACACGGUCCAGACUCCUACGGCAGGCACCGGUGGGGAAUAUUGGACAAUGGGCGCAAGCCUGAUCCAGCCAUACCGCGUGAGUGAAGAAGGCCUUCGGGUUGUAAAGCCCGUUUGUUGGGAAAGAAAAGCAGCAGGUUAAUACCCCGCUGUUCUGACGGUACCCAAAGUAUAAGCACCGGCUAACUUCGUG
This 492-nucleotide ribosomal RNA is filed under the name uncultured bacterium. RNAcentral's name for it is "partial 16S ribosomal RNA". It matches the Rfam family "Bacterial small subunit ribosomal RNA", at positions 29 to 507 of the family's 1533-position model. The record is from RNAcentral.